Molecule: long non-coding RNA, 2127 nt
Filed under: Phocoena sinus (vaquita)
Lineage: Eukaryota; Metazoa; Chordata; Mammalia; Artiodactyla; Phocoenidae
Description: lncRNA (ENSPSNG00000017257.1)
Source: RNAcentral
AUGGUGACUGCACGGCAGCGGGUGGCAUUACAGGAGAGGAACCUGGAGCCCAAGGCAGGCAAGGCUUGUACGAUGGGAAGCACGGCUGCCACCCCUUCUCCAGAGGGAACCUCCAUCUCCGAGGUUCCAGGCUGUCCACCGUGUAAGCAUCCUUGUAAAGACGGUCCAUCCAGAAUAGAGGUGUCAGCGUCUCCGCCUGCAAGAUGUCAGACACCGGAGAGGCCCUUGGAGAACUGUCUCCCGCCCGACAUGACACAGCGCACGCCAAGCGUGGCACCAGGACAGAAGCACCCCGGUCCCCUAGGAGCCCCUGACAAAGAAGAUGCUGGACAUCCCUGUCCUUAACCCUCAGACUGGAGACGGAAAUUCUUCGUGUCCUCGAGUGGCUUCCUACUCUUCUCACAGAACAGUCUUGGCCCCUUGACCUGGUGUGAGGAGCAGCAGCACCUCCACAGUGAGUGAAGUGCCCCCGACUCAGCUUGGCUUCCGCCAUCCACCAUGGAAGGCUUGGGCAGACCGCUGUGGAAACCAACUCCUAAAUAUUUUAAACAGAGACCAUGGCUGACAGGAGUCAAACUUUCUGUAUUAAUGGAGGAUUAAAACCUCAGCUAUUUCCAGUAAUUUAUUAUGCACCCGCUUAUAAACACAUUGCACUGGUCAUGGAAUGUAUACGUGUAGCAGGCCCUCCAGAGAUGGAUGAAGAACACUUAAAGGGCAUCAAGGGCACCCAGGUUCCAGCAUGGAAGCACAGUCGCAGUUGGCAACCUUUGCACGGGAAGUCCCCUGACCGUUGGUGACCUGUGUCCUGUGGGCCACUGUCUGGGAACCACUGCACGUGGCAAAGGAGCAAGCCCUCUGAUCUUACUCAGACCUAUCAUUACACUGUCCCCAGAAGUGACCCAUGUCAGCCUUCAAGGGCUCAUGUUGCGAAAGGCAAUCAUCUGUCUCGUGAGAAAAGCCAUCAAAGUGCCAAAUUAUUGAUCACCACACCCAGUGUGCUGUGUCUGACUGUGGGCACCACACCUCAGGGGCAACAUUAGCCCCAAACGUGACACAUGCAGGGCAGAAGCGUUCAGACCAGAAGGGGACACAAACCAUGCGACGCUGGGACAAAGGAACAGGAUUCACAUGGAUAGAAGGGGUGAGGGGGCACGCUUGCUGUCCGAAUGCUCUGGAGGUCAUGGAGAGAAAGGUUUUCCCAGGGUGGGGGUGGAAACCAAUGGUAAAGGCUGGUUGCCGGGAGCACAGAUUUAUGCUAAAAAACCCGGGGGUGUGGGGGGAGUACUUCCUAAAAGAGUUCGUGAGAAGGGGCUGAGCUCUCUGUCACUGGAGAUGCUCAGUCCUUGGCUGCAUGGCCAUGCUGGAAGAACACUGCAGAAAAACUCCAGCGUCGGAUAACUGAAGGAAGGGACUAAGUUGUUUCCCCCGCAGGACCUUGUGAUGCCAUGCAUGGGGGACUUGAAUCUGAAGUUGGGGUGUGUGUGGGGGGUCUUGUAAUAGGGAAGAAUAAAUCUGACUCCAUAUUGGAUCUAUUUCUUUAGCUCCAACCUUUGUGCCCAGUUGCCUCUGCUUAGUCAUGCUGGCUCUGCACCUUUUGUAAAAGAAUGUUGCCUAUGGCUUGAAAUAUACAGGAUAGCCUGACCUUGACCUGACCGGAACAGAGAAUAACAGAAACCUUGCCUACACGGACAGCUACAAGAAGAAAGGAUCUGACACCAAGAAGUUUGCAACAAUUCACACACCCCCUCACCUUGCCUUUAAAAAGGGCUUUGCUGAAAGCUUCUCGGGAGUUUGGCCUUUUUAAGGCAUGAGCCACCUGUCUCCUUGCCUGGCCCCACGAUUAACCUCUGCUUCAAACUCUAAUGUUUCAGUAUUGUUCGGUCUCACUCUGUUAUUAGGCACAGACUUGCGUUCGGUAACAAUUAUGGUGAGCCAGCCAGGAAUCUGUGCCUGUGGGGGUGGACCCCGGCCAGGGACAGCCCCUUCCCAAGUUCCCAGCAGCUGCUGGAGCUCAUUUUGCACCUGGGAACUGUGAGGGACUCUCCCUGAGAGGCGUCAGCUGCCCCAGUGCACAAGGCCAUUUGGAGCAGAGAAACGUCCAGAGCUAUGGUCCACAUUUGGUGUCAC